AGAGUUUGAUCCUGGCUCAGAACGAACGCUGGCGGCAGGCUUAACACAUGCAAGUCGAGCGCCCCGCAAGGGGAGCGGCAGACGGGUGAGUAACGCGUGGGAACGUACCUUUUGCUACGGAAUAACUCAGGGAAACUUGUGCUAAUACCGUAUGUGCCCUUCGGGGGAAAGAUUUAUCGGCAAAGGAUCGGCCCGCGUUGGAUUAGCUAGUUGGUGAGGUAAAGGCUCACCAAGGCGACGAUCCAUAGCUGGUCUGAGAGGAUGAUCAGCCACACUGGGACUGAGACACGGCCCAGACUCCUACGGGAGGCAGCAGUGGGGAAUAUUGGUCAAUGGGCGGAAGCCUGAACCAGCCAUGCCGCGUGCGGGAAGAAGGCGCUACGCGUCGUAAACCGCUUUUGUCCGGGGGUAACCGCGGGGACGAGUCCCCGCCUGCAAGUACCGGACGAAUAAGGGUCGGCUAACUCCGUGCCAGCAGCCGCGGUAAUACGGAGGACCCGAGCGUUAUCCGGAUUCAUUGGGUUUAAAGGGUGCGCAGGCGGCCCGGUCAGUCAGCGGUGAAAUGCCCGCGCUCCACGCGGGAGCUGCCGUUGAUACUGCCGGGCUGGAGUCUUAGCGAGGCGGGCGGAAUGCGCGGUGUAGCGGUGAAAUGCAUAGAUAUCGCGCAGAACGCCGAUUGGGGAGCCAGCUCGCCAGCUGAGUACUGACGCUGAGGCACGAAAGCGUGGGGAUCGAACAGGAUUAGAUACCCUGGUAGUCCACGCAGUAAACGAUGAUUACUGGUUGUUUGCGAUACAAUGCAAGCGACUGAGCGAAAGCGUUAAGUAAUCCACCUGGGGAGUACGUUCGCAAGAAUGAAACUCAAAGGAAUUGACGGGGGCCCGCACAAGCGGAGGAACAUGUGGUUUAAUUCGAUGAUACGCGAGGAACCUUACC
This 936-nucleotide ribosomal RNA is filed under the name uncultured bacterium. Its description in RNAcentral is "bacterial SSU rRNA". It matches the Rfam family "Bacterial small subunit ribosomal RNA", at positions 8 to 975 of the family's 1533-position model. The record is from RNAcentral.